Molecule: ribosomal RNA, 421 nt
Filed under: Streptomyces sp.
Lineage: Bacteria; Bacillati; Actinomycetota; Actinomycetes; Kitasatosporales; Streptomycetaceae
Description: bacterial SSU rRNA
Rfam family: Bacterial small subunit ribosomal RNA
Source: RNAcentral
ACUACUCCUACGGGGGCAGCAGUGGGGAAUAUUGCACAAUGGGCGAAAGCCUGAUGCAGCGACGCCGCGUGAGGGAUGACGGCCUUCGGGUUGUAAACCUCUUUCAGCAGGGAAGAAGCGAAAGUGACGGUACCUGCAGAAGAAGCGCCGGCUAACUACGUGCCAGCAGCCGCGGUAAUACGUAGGGCGCAAGCGUUGUCCGGAAUUAUUGGGCGUAAAGAGCUCGUAGGCGGCUUGUCACGUCGGUUGUGAAAGCCCGGGGCUUAACCCCGGGUCUGCAGUCGAUACGGGCAGGCUAGAGUUCGGUAGGGGAGAUCGGAAUUCCUGGUGUAGCGGUGAAAUGCGCAGAUAUCAGGAGGAACACCGGUGGCGAAGGCGGAUCUCUGGGCCGAUACUGACGCUGAGAGCGAAGCAUCUUCCC